RNAcentral lists this long non-coding RNA (3563 nucleotides) under Homo sapiens (human). RNAcentral's name for it is "HSALNT0212570". Lineage: Eukaryota; Metazoa; Chordata; Mammalia; Primates; Hominidae. The record is from RNAcentral.
GUCUGGCUUCUGUCACUUAGCAUCAUGUUUUCGAGGUUUAUCCAGGUUGUAACAUGUAUUGUUAUUACACCUUGGUCUAUGGCUAAAUAAUGUUCCAUUGUCUGUAAGCACUCCCAUCUUACAGAUGAGGAAACAGUCCCGAGGCGCUGAGACUCCCAGCUUGAGUCCACACCGGAGAGACAUGGUCCGUGCAAGCCUGCUCCCCAGAUGGCCCCAUCCUGGCACUGCCGUCUGGGAGGAGGCUGGACUGGACCCAGGAGUCAGGAUAACUUGGCAAAAAGGGGCUGUGGAUCUUGGGGCUGCAGGCAGGGAAACAUAGGGAUCUAUAGCCCACCAACACCUUCCAUGAGGCACAAGGGGAAAGUAACUGGACCAAGUCAAGGGCAACUCCAUGAGUUAAAGGGCACACAGGGGAACUCUCCCAUCCAGCCCUCAGCCAGCUCUCCAAGGAAGACUGGAGUAAGCCAGGGGCAGGUGCUGGCCAGCGUGCUUCUGGAGAACAAGUCCCAGAUGCUGCUCAACUUGGGGUCAGAGGAAGCCAAGAGGGGACCCCAGAGCCAUGCCUGGUCAGGCACAGCCCCUCCCCAGCAGUGAGUUUGUACCCACUGCCCACUUCGGGAGUGGGGGCUUGUCAUGACAUACAGUGAGCUAACAGAGGGUAUGAAGGGCCUCCUGGAGGGGGUGGGGUGCACAGGAAACUGCUCAACACCUUGGUGCCCUCCCCUGUGCACUCAGGUCUUGCAUGAGCUGCCUGUCCUGGAGGAAUCCUUGAAGGGGACAGACAGCACCAUCCUCCCUCACCUUUCUGCACAGAGUCCCAGGAACCUGAGCAGGGCAAAUGUUUUCACCACCCUGUUCUGAGAACAAAUUGAGCAGGCCUAUUAGCCCCAUAUUCCCACAUGUGGUCCUGGAGACUACGCUCCAUCCUGGAAAAUGCCAUAGAGGUCACUUUGGGCAUGCGGCACAGCGGCUGUCCGAGGGGGUGUGUUUAGGGCUGGACACCUUCCGGUCCAGCACAGGCCAUGAGGAGCAGGCGAGUGCCCUCUAGUGGCCUCUCCCGGCACGGGUUGCAUAGAGCCCCACUUCCCAAAGACAGCUCGCCUAGGAGCACAGGGACAAUCCCAGUCUCCUUCCUACAGGGUCUGGAAGCGUUGUGCAACUAACCCUCAAUUUUUUCAAAAGAAAAAAGGAAGUGAUAGAUCUACAUCAGAAGGUGUUACUAUUUCUAGUUCACAAAUGAAAAAGGGGUGGCCAGGCACGGUGGCUCACGCCUGUAAUCCCAGCACUUUGGGAGGCCGAGGCGGGUGCAUCACUUGAGGCCAGGAGUUUGAGAUCAGCCUGGUCAACAUGGUGAAACCCCGUCUCUGCUAAAAACACAAAAAUUAGCCAGGCAUGCUGGCAGGCGCCUGUAAUCUCAGCUACUUGGGAGGCUGAGGCAUGAGAAUAGCUUGAACCCACGAGCCAGAGGUUGCAGUGAGCCGAGAUUGCACCGCUGCACUCCAGCCUGGGCAACAAAGCAAGACUCUGCCUCAAAUAAAAACAAAAUAAAACAAACAAAAAAUACAAAUGAAAAAGAUACAGAACUUGGGUUUUUCAACUCAGCUGUGAUGGCAAACUUGUGCUGGUGUUUAGGCACUCGACUUUAACUGCUCAGAUUUUAACAAGAGGCUAUUUCCAACCAAAAGCGUAGCUUUUUCUCUCCUGUCUCCUGCUCCCAAGAGAGACUGCACUGUUGAGGAGAAAGCAGGGAAAUGGCUCUUCCUCCUCUCUGUGGUAAAAAGGAUCAAUGAUAAACUUUUCCUUAUCUUGUUAUACUUUACAAAGGCCUUUCACCUGUGUUAUCUUAUUUGCACGUCACACCAGCCCUGUGAGGGAGGAAGUAUUAGCCCCAUCCAAUAUGUAACUCCAAAGGUAGCUGUCCACUUAACUUCCAGCCCUGCAGCUACACAAGCCCCAUGGGACCAAACCCAAAUGAAGUCUCAAUAAAUUUAAAAAGAUAACUGUCAUAUAAAGUAUCUCCUUGGACCACAACAGGAUGAAGUUAAAAAAUCAAUAACAGAAAUAUAACUGAAGGCCGGUCGUGGUGGCUCACGCCUGUAAUCCCAGCAAUUUGGGAGGCCUCGGAGGUGGGCAGAUCACUUGAGCCCAGAAUUCGAGAACAGCCUGGGCAACAUGCUGAAACCCCAUCUCUACAAAAUAAUAAUAAUAAUAAUAAUAAUAAUAAUAAAUAAAAAAUAGCCAGGCAUGGUGGCGCACACCUGUAGUCCCAGCUACUCUUAGAGGCUGAGGUGGGAAGAUCAUCUGAGCCUGGGAAGGUUGGGGCUGCAGUGAGCUGUGAUCACACCACUGCACUCCAGUCUGGGCGACAGAGUGAGACCCUGUCUACAAAAAAAGAAAAGAAAAGGAAAUACAACUGGAAAAUUCACAAAUUUGUGAAAAAACAAUGCACUCUUAACCAAUGGAUCAAAGAAGACAUCACAAAGGAAACCAGAAAAUACCUAGAAAUAAAAGAAAAUGAAAACACAACAAAGCAAAAUGUAUGAGAUACAACAAAAGCAGCGCUAAGGAGAAAAUUUAUAGCUAUAAGUAACACAACAUAGCAAAAUGUAUGACAUACAAUAAAAGCAGUGCUAAGGUGGAAAUUUAUAGCUGUAAGUGUUUACAUUAAAAAACAAGAAAGAUUUCAAAUCAACAACCUAACUUUACAACUUGAGGAAGUAUAAAGAGAAAACCAAACAACCCAAUAUUUAAAUAAAUUUAAAAAGAUAACUGUCAUAUAAAGUAUCUCCUCGGACCACAACAGGAUGAAGUUAAAAAUCAAUAACAGAAAUAUAACUGGAGGCCAGUCGUGGUAGUCAAAAUAAAUAUUAGCAACAAAUGAAACUGAGAAUAGAAACACAAUAGAAAAGGCUGGGCACAGUUAUUCAUGCCUGUAAUCCCAGCACUCUGGGAGGCCAAGGCAGGCAGAUCACUUGAGCUCAGGAGUUCAAGACCAGCAUGGGCAACAUGGCAAAACCCCACCUCUACCAAAAAUACAAAAAAUUAGCUGGGCAUGGCGGUGUGUGCCUGUAGUCCCAGCUACUCAGGAGGCUGAAAUGGGCGGAUCGCUUGAGCCUGGGAAGCAGAAGUUGCAGGGAGCCAAGAUCAUGCCACUGCACCCCAGCCUGGGCAACAGAGCAAGACCCCAUUUCAGAAAAAGAAAAAGAAAAACAAUAGAGAUAAACCAGCGAAACAAAAAGUUUGUUUUUUGAAAUGAUCAACAAAAUUGAAAAACCUUUAGCUAGAUGGACUAAUAAAAGAGAGAGAGAAGCCUCAAAUUACUGAAAUCAGAAAUGAAAGUGGGGACAUUUGGCCGGGCGCGGUGGCUCACUCCUGUAAUCCCAGCACUUUGGGAGGCCAAGGCGGGUGUUAUCACCUGAUGUCAGGAGUUCGAGACCAGCCUGGCCAAUAUGGUGAAACCCUGUCUCUACUAAAAAAGUACAAAAAUUAGCCAGGCGUGGUGGCACAUGCCUGUAAUGCCCAGCUACUCAGGAGGCUGAGGCAGGAGAAUCUCUUGAACCUGG